AUGGUCAAACUCAGUAAUCCCAGAGUGAACAAUUUCUGUGGCAAUAUCCCAGAGUCCAUAGGUCAGCUCAGGAGGCUGGAGAAGCUCCAUUUGGGUAACAAUAACAUGUCUGGGGAGCUGCCAUCAACUCUGAGCAACUGCAAAAAUCUCAAAAACAUUGAUCUGAAGAUCAACAACUUCAGUGGAGAUCUAGGCAAGGUAAACUUCGCCACCCUGCAGAAUCUAAAAAGUUUAGAUCUCAUGAUGAAUAAUCUAAGUGGCAUACUUCCAGAAAGUAUUUACUCAUGCAGCAAUUUGACUGCACUGCGGUUGUCGGCCAACCGUUUCCAUGGUGAGAUCUCCCUUAGAAUAGGCAAUCUGAAGCACCUAUCCUUCCUAUCACUUGUUAGAAACUCCUUCACGAACAUCACAAAAACUUUGCAUGCUCUUAAGAACUGUAGGAACAUCAGCAUCCUGCUUAUCGGCAGAAACUUCAUGAAUGAGGCCAUGCCACAAGAUGAAGUCAUUGACGGCUUCCAGAACCUUCAAUAUCUCUCCGUGCACGACUGUUCGUUGACUGGAAAGACACCUGUCUGGUUAUCAAAGCUCACAAAGCUGAAAAGAUACUAG
RNAcentral lists this ribosomal RNA (609 nucleotides) under Triticum aestivum (bread wheat). RNAcentral describes it as "partial small subunit ribosomal RNA". The record is from RNAcentral. Lineage: Eukaryota; Viridiplantae; Streptophyta; Magnoliopsida; Poales; Poaceae.